CGUAGGCGGGGAGGUAAGUCGGGUGUGAAAUCCCUCGGCCCAACCGAGGAACUGCGCCCGAGACUGCUUCUCUUGAGUCCCGGAGAGGAAGAUGGAAUUCCCGGUGUAGCGGUGAAAUGUGUAGAGAUCGGGAGGAACACCGGUGGCGAAGGCGGUCUUCUGGACGGUGACUGACGCUGAGGCGCGAAAGCGUGGGGAGCAAACG
Molecule: ribosomal RNA, 205 nt
Filed under: uncultured bacterium
Lineage: Bacteria
Description: partial 16S ribosomal RNA
Rfam family: Bacterial small subunit ribosomal RNA
Source: RNAcentral